RNAcentral lists this transfer RNA (84 nucleotides) under Chelonia mydas (Green sea turtle). It matches the Rfam family "tRNA". Rfam says of the family: Transfer RNA (tRNA) molecules are approximately 80 nucleotides in length. Their secondary structure includes four short double-helical elements and three loops (D, anti-codon, and T loops). The record is from Rfam by way of RNAcentral. Lineage: Eukaryota; Metazoa; Chordata; Testudines; Cheloniidae.
ACCAGAAUGGCCAAGUGGCUAAGGCACUAGACUUAAGUUCCAAUAGACAUAUGUCUGCAUGGGUUCGAUUCCCCACUUCUGAUA